RNAcentral lists this ribosomal RNA (407 nucleotides) under uncultured bacterium. RNAcentral's name for it is "partial 16S ribosomal RNA". It matches the Rfam family "Bacterial small subunit ribosomal RNA", at positions 28 to 526 of the family's 1533-position model. The record is from RNAcentral.
GACGAACGCUGGCGGCGUGCCUAAUACAUGCAAGUAGGACGCAGUUGCGAACGGGUGAGUAACGCGUAUGUAACUACCUAUUAGAGGGGGAUAACUAUUGGAACCGAUAGCUAAUACCGCAUCCUAGUAGAUGUACCUGCGUUGUAUUAGCUAGUAGGUAGGGUAAUGGCCUACCUAGGCAACGAUACAUAGCCGACCCGAGAGGGUGAUCGGGCACAAUGGGACCUGGAAAAGGGCCAGACUUCCUCGGGAGGGAGCAGUAGGGGAUCUUCGGCAAUGGGGGGAAACCUGACCGCGCAACGGCGCGUGAGUGGAGAAGGUUUUCGGAUCGGAAAGCUAUGUUGUUAGGGAAGCGGUACUUAACCAGAAAGGAACGGCUAACUACGUGCCAGCAGCCGCGGUAAUAC